This 422-nucleotide ribosomal RNA is filed under the name uncultured bacterium. RNAcentral's name for it is "partial 16S ribosomal RNA". It matches the Rfam family "Bacterial small subunit ribosomal RNA", at positions 360 to 774 of the family's 1533-position model. The record is from RNAcentral.
AAUAUUAAACAAUGGGCGAAAGCCUGAUCCAGCCAUGCCGCGUGUGUGAAGAAGGUCAUCGGACAGUAAAGCACUUAAAGUCGGGAGGAAGGACAGUACGUUAAUACCUUGCUGUUUUCACGUUACCGACAGAAUAGGCACCGUCUACCUCCGUGCCAGAAGCGGCGGUAAUACGAAUGGUGCAAGCGUUAAUCGGAAUUACUGGGCGUAAAGCGCGCGUAGGUGGUUUGUUAAGUUGGAAGUGAAAGCCCCGGGCUCAACCUGGGAACUGCUAUCAAAACUGGCAAGCUAGAGUAUGGCAGAGGGUGGUGGAAUUUCCUGUGUAGCGGUGAAAUGCGUAGAUAUAGGAAGGAACACCAGUGGCGAAGGCGACUACCUGGACUGAUACUGACACUGAGGUGCGAUAGCGUGGGGAGCAAACA